UAGUGUGUUGCAUAAUAUCAGUGAAUAGCUGGAAUUCUUGGAGUGAAACACUUUGUGCUUUGCUCGGACUCAUUCUGUGGGCAAAACUUGUUUGUAAAGAACACCAAGAUACAGUGUAGAAAGCAGCGUUUAACUAUGAGCUGUCUUUCUGUAGCUGUGUACUCAGUGCCCAUGGUUCCCCCUUUCCCAGGAAAGGCAGUCUGACUCCUGACAGGAAACUAUUAUCAAUUAAGUUGCCCUCAUUAGGGGGCAGCUGCAUCUGCUUUUUCCUGCAGAUCUCCUCUUGCAUGCAAAAGGAGGCAAGGAGAAAAAUGGGAUCUGGAUCUUUUCAGUUUGUGAUUAACCCUUUUUUUCCCCCAACAGAGAAGAAAGGCAUUGUUGCUUUUUCAGGGCUGAAGAGUGCUGUUGUGUUAGUACAGCAGGCUGUGCCACUCUCCAGUUUUCUACCUGAUGAAUUGCAAACAAGUUGUUAGCUUGUUAGUUAAUGUGUCUUAGUAAUGAGCCCUCACAAAGUGCUUCAUGGGACUUCCCUGAUGAGAGCAAUCAAGAGACCUAGCUGAAGAGUGAUUGGCCUUGCAUGCAGAUCCAGAUGUGGGAAAUGCUGCCUGCCUCCCCAAGAGUGAGUGAUGUGGCCCUGUUACCUGAUGUUAUGGACCUUGUGUGGACCAAAGGCUUUGCUGCCAGGCUUGCUGUGACUGUUACUGCAUUCAUAGGGAAGACGUUUGCCUCAUUCUUACAAAAAGACCUGGACAAGGAGGCCUGUUCCAUCAUAAAUAAAAUACUUGCUGUCUCUGUUAUUAAAUGUAUACCUGUUCCAGCAUCAAUUAUGGAUAAGGGGCGUUAUUGGCCC
RNAcentral lists this long non-coding RNA (850 nucleotides) under Dromaius novaehollandiae (emu). RNAcentral's name for it is "lncRNA (ENSDNVG00000017829.1)". Lineage: Eukaryota; Metazoa; Chordata; Aves; Casuariiformes; Dromaiidae. The record is from RNAcentral.